This 460-nucleotide ribosomal RNA is filed under the name uncultured bacterium. Its description in RNAcentral is "partial 16S ribosomal RNA". It matches the Rfam family "Bacterial small subunit ribosomal RNA", at positions 338 to 795 of the family's 1533-position model. The record is from RNAcentral.
CCUACGGGUGGCAGCAGUGAGGAAUAUUGGACAAUGGGCGUAAGCCUGAACCAGCCAAGCCGCGUGAGGGAAGACUGCCCUAUGGGUUGUAAACCUCUUUUGUCAGGGAGCAAUUGUCGCUACGUGUAGCGUUAUCGAGAGUACCUGAAGAAAAAGCAUCGGCUAACUCCGUGCCAGCAGCCGCGGUAAUACGUAGGAUGCGAGCGUUAUCCGUAUUUAUUUGUUUAAAAGGGUGCGUAGGCGGAAUGCCAAGUCAGCGGUAAAAUCGCGGGGCUCAACCUCGCCCCGCCGUUGAUACUGGCGAUCUAGAGUGGGAGAGAGGUAUGCGGAAUGCGUGGUGUAGCGGUGAAAUGCGUAGAUAUCAGGAAGAACACCGAUUGCGAAGGCAGCAUACCGGGGCCCAACUGACGCUGAAGCACGAAAGCGUGGGUAUCGAACAGGAUUAGAUACCCGUGUAGUC